This 469-nucleotide ribosomal RNA is filed under the name uncultured bacterium. RNAcentral describes it as "bacterial SSU rRNA". It matches the Rfam family "Bacterial small subunit ribosomal RNA", at positions 28 to 507 of the family's 1533-position model. The record is from RNAcentral.
GGUUAACGCUGGCGGCGUGCCUAACACAUGCAAGUCGAACGGUUCUAAGCGCGAGCUUAGGAUAGUGGCGAACGGGUGAGUAAAAGGUAGGAAUCUACCCCUUGGACGGAGAUAGCUACUGGAAACGGUAGGUAAACUUCGAUAAGCCCGAGAGGGGAAAGUGGUGAGACAGCCGAGGGAUGAGCCUACUCUCCAUCAGGUAGUUGGUGAGAUAAAAGCUUACCAAGCCGAUGACGGAUAACCGGUGUGAGAGCAUGAACGGUCACAAGGGCACUGAGAGACGGGCCCUACUCCUACGGGAGGCAGCAGUAGGGAAUAUUGGACAAUGGGCGCAAGCCUGAUCCAGCCAUGCCGCGUGAGUGAAGAAGGCCCUCGGGUUGUAAAGCUCUUUUGUCCGGAAAGAAAAGCGCCGGGUUAAUACCCUGGUGUCCUGACGGUACCGGAAGAAUAAGCACCGGCUAACUUCGUG